AAACCAACCGGGAUUGCCUCAGUAACGGCGAGUGAAGCGGCAAGAGCUCAAAUUUGAAAGCUGGCCCCUUCGGGGUCCGCGUUGUAAUUUGCAGAGGAUGCUUCGGGUGCGGCCCCUGUCUAAGUGCCCUGGAACGGGCCGUCAGAGAGGGUGAGAAUCCCGUCUUGGGCAGGGUGCCCGUGCCCGUGUGAAGCUCCUUCGACGAGUCGAGUUGUUUGGGAAUGCAGCUCUAAAUGGGUGGUAAAUUUCAUCUAAAGCUAAAUACCGGCCGGAGACCGAUAGCGCACAAGUAGAGUGAUCGAAAGAUGAAAAGCACUUUGAAAAGAGAGUUAAACAGCACGUGAAAUUGUUGAAAGGGAAGCGCUUGCGACCAGACUCGGCCCCGGGGUUCAGCCAGCACUCGUGCUGGUGUACUUCCCCGGGGGCGGGCCAGCGUCGGUUUGGGCGGCCGGUCAAAGGCCCCAGGAAUGUAUCGCCCUCCGGGGUUGUCUUAUAGCCUGGGGUGCAAUGCGGCCAGCCCGGACCGAGGAACGCGCUUCGGCACGGACGCUGGCGUAAUGGUCGCAAACGAC
RNAcentral lists this ribosomal RNA (572 nucleotides) under Aspergillus nidulans. RNAcentral's name for it is "eukaryotic LSU rRNA". It matches the Rfam family "Eukaryotic large subunit ribosomal RNA", at positions 62 to 648 of the family's 3401-position model. The record is from RNAcentral. Lineage: Eukaryota; Fungi; Ascomycota; Eurotiomycetes; Eurotiales; Aspergillaceae.